This 506-nucleotide ribosomal RNA is filed under the name uncultured bacterium. RNAcentral's name for it is "partial 16S ribosomal RNA". It matches the Rfam family "Bacterial small subunit ribosomal RNA", at positions 29 to 523 of the family's 1533-position model. The record is from RNAcentral.
AUUGAACGCUGGCGGCAGGCCUAACACAUGCAAGUCGAACGGCAGCACAGAGGAGCUUGCUCUUUGGGUGGCGAGUGGCGGACGGGUGAGUAAUGUCUGGGAAACUGCCCGAUGGAGGGGGAUAACUACUGGAAACGGUAGCUAAUACCGCAUAACGUCGCGAGACCAAAGUGGGGGACCUUCGGGCCUCACACUAUCGGAUGUGCACAAGUGGGAUUAGCUAGUAGGUGGGGUAAAGGCUCACCUAGGCGACGAUCCCUAGCUGGUGUGAGAGGAUGACCAGCCACACUGGAACUGAGACACGGUCCAGACUCCUACGGGAGGCAGCAGUGGGGAAUAUUGCACAAUGGGCGCAAGCCUGAUGCAGCCAUGCCGCGUGUAUGAAGAAGGCCUUCGGGUUGUAAAGUACUUUCAGCGGGGAGGAAGGCGGUGAGGUUAAUAACCUUGCCGAUUGACGUUACCCGCAGAAGAAGCACCGGCUAACUCCGUGCCAGCCGCCGCAGUAA